AUGUUCUUGUGUCAGUUUGCUAAGAAUGAUGUUCUCCAGAUUCAUCCAUGUCCCUACAAAGAGAUCAUUAGAGCGACUGUGCUGCCCAUAACAACAAGGGCCAUUGGUGAAAACAAGCUGCUCAGGGAGGGGGAUCACGGAAAUCACAGAAAUGGGAUUUCUCUGUUUUCAUCCCCCGAGAUCAUCAGUGACCCUGCUCCUGACAUCGGAUCACCUCUCAGCCAACAUCUGAGUCUACGGUGUCCUUUCCUAGAGUCAGAGUUCACUCGUGAUUAUUUCAAUGUGUUGGGAAGUUAGUCAUUUUUACUUUUUUUUUUUUUUUUUUUUGAGGCGGAGUUUCGCUGUUGUUACCCAGACUGGAGUGCAAUGGCACGAUCUCGGCUCACCGCAACCUCCGCCUCCUGGGUUCAAGGACCUCAGCCUCCCCAGUAGCUGGGACUACAGGCGCGCACCACCAUGCCCAGCUAAUUUUUGUACUUUUUUUUAGUAGAGACGGGGUUUCACCAUGUUGACCAGGAUGGUCAUGAUCUCUUGACCUCGUGAUCCAUCCGCCUUAGCCUCCCAAAGUGCUGGGAUUAUAGGCGUGAGCCACCGCGCCCGGCUAGUCUUUUUUACUUUUUAAGAGAUGUUAUCACCAGGUGUGGUGGCUCAAACCUAUAAUCCCAGCACUUUGGGAGGCUGAGGUGGGAGGAUCACCUGAGGUCAUGAGUUUGAGACAAGCUUGGCCAACAUGGCAAAACCUUGUCUCUACUAAAAAUACAAAAAUUAGCUAGGUGUGGUGGCAGGGGACUGUAAUCCCAGCUACUCAGGAGGCUGAGGCAGGAGAAUUGCUUGAACCUGGGAAGCAGAGGUUGCAGUGAGCCGAGAUUGUGCCAUUGCACCCCAGCCUAAGUUAAAGAGCAAAAUUCCAUCUCAAAAAAAAAAAGAAAAAAGAAAGAGAGAUGGGGUCUUGCCAUGCUGUCCAGGCUGGCCUCAAACUCUUGAGCUCAGUAAUCUUUCCCACCUCGGCCUCUCGAAGUGCUGGGAUCACAGGUGUGAACCACCACACCUGGCUGAGGAAGUUAGUCUUCAUAAUGGGACUAAACCUGCUUUCCUAUAUUUUUCAUCUUUUCAUGUGUUUAUUGGAUAUUUGAAUUUCAUUCAUGAAAAAAAUGGUAUCUUUUUGUUUUCUGCUGUUUUUUUUAUUAGAGAUGAGGUCUCACUUUGUUGGCCAGGGCUGCUCUUAAAAUCCUGAUCUCAAGUGAUCCUCCCACCUUGGCCUCCCAAAGUGCUGGGAUUACAGGCAUGAGACAAGGCGCCCGACCCUAAUUUUUGUAUUUUUAGUAUAGACGAAGUUUCACCAUGUUAGCUAGGCUGGUCUGGACUCCUGACCUCAGGUGAUCCACCUGCUCUCGGCCUCCCAACGUGCUGGGAUUAUAGAUGUGCGCCACCAUGCCCAGCCAGUCUUUCUUGUUUUGUUAUCUGUGCAUCUGUGGGUAUGCAUUUUCCCAAGUACCACUUUGGCCACAUUUUCCAGAUUUUGACAUGCAGCUCUCUAAUUAUUUUUAUUUAUAGGUUGUAAUUUGUUGUGUUUCUUUCUUUCUUUUUUUUUUUUUUUUUUUUUUUUUCCCGGGCUGGAAUGCAGUAGAGUAAUCUUGGCUCUCUGCAACCUCCAACUCCCAGGUUCGAGCUAUUCUCCCGCCUCAGCCUCCCAAGUAGCUGGGACUACUGGCACCUGCCACCACACAAAAUAUUUUUUUAUAUUUUCAUAGAGACAGAGUUUCACUCUGUUGGCCAGGCUGGUCUCAGACACCUGACCCUGUGAUCCACCUGCCUCGGCCUCCCAAAGUGCUGGAAUUACAGGUGUGAGCCACGGCACCCAGCCCUUUUUUGGCUUUUUCUUAUAAAUUCUAUUUCAUCGUGAUCAGAGAAUUCACAUGUAUGUGUACACCUGCAUGUAUGUACACUUGUAUGACUUUUCACUCUUCUGUAACCUUAAUCCACCUGUCUCAGGUCUAUUCUCUGACCCCCUCAAAGAAAGCUUAGUUCCUUUUUCACAGGAUGUGCCAUUAAAUAUUUCAUAGCAGGCCGGGCACAGUGGCUCACACCUGUAAUCUCAGCCUUCUGGGAGGCCAAGGUGGGCAGACCACAUGAGGUCAGGAGUUCAAGACCAGCCUGGUCAACAUGGUGAAACCUCACCUCCACCAAAAAAUACAAAAAUUAGCCAGGCCUGGUGGUACACACUGUAAUCCCAGCUGCUCAGGAGGCUGAGGCAGGAGAAUCAGUUGAACCCAAGAGGUGGAAGUUGCAGUGAGCCAAGAUUGCAUCAUUGCACUCCAGCCCAGGCAGCAGAACGAGACUCCAUCUCAAAAAAAAAAAAAAGGCCGGGCGCGGUGGCUCACGCCUAUAAUCCCAGCAAGUUGGGAGGCUGAGGCGGGUGGAUCAUGACGUCAAGAGAUUGAGACCAUCCUGGUCAACAAUGUGAAA
Long non-coding RNA from Callithrix jacchus (white-tufted-ear marmoset), 2466 nucleotides. The record is from Ensembl. Lineage: Eukaryota; Metazoa; Chordata; Mammalia; Primates; Cebidae.